CAGCAGCCGCGGUAAUACGAGGGGGGCAAGCGUUGUUCGGAAUUAUUGGGCGUAAAGGGUGCGUAGGCGGUUUGGUAAGUCUUGUGUGAAAUCCUCGGGCUCAACUCGAAGUCUGCACGAGAAACUGCCGGGCUUGAGUGUGGGAGAGGUGAGUGGAAUUUCCGGUGUAGCGGUGAAAUGCGUAGAUAUCGGAAGGAACACCUGUGGCGAAAGCGGCUCACUGGACCAUAACUGACGCUGAUGCACGAAAGCUAGGGGAGCAAACAGGAUUAGAUACCCCCGUAGUCCCUGUCUCUUAUAC
Molecule: ribosomal RNA, 301 nt
Filed under: uncultured bacterium
Lineage: Bacteria
Description: partial 16S ribosomal RNA
Rfam family: Bacterial small subunit ribosomal RNA
Source: RNAcentral